AUUAAUUAUAGAUAUCUUCCUCGUACUUUUAAUACUCGAGCAGAUUGUUUAGCUAAAAAAACUCGGGCUCGAAAUAAUAUUUUCUCCCAUGUAUGCACAUCAGUUCCUGAAUGACUCUUUCUAGCGGAGAAUUUCUUCCCGAUAAGUUAAUAUAAAUAGUGUUUGUUGAAAGAAAAAAGAAUGUUAUUAAUCUAUUGUAUAUUUAUAUGUGAUUGAAAAAACAGUUCGAAGAU
Molecule: small RNA, 233 nt
Filed under: Arabidopsis thaliana (thale cress)
Lineage: Eukaryota; Viridiplantae; Streptophyta; Magnoliopsida; Brassicales; Brassicaceae
Description: ATSL110730
Source: RNAcentral